GACGAACGCUGGCGGCGUGCCUAAUACAUGCAAGUAGAACGCUGAAGGAGGAGCUUGCUUCUCUGGAUGAGUUGCGAACGGGUGAGUAACGCGUAGGUAACCUGCCUGGUAGCGGGGGAUAACUAUUGGAAACGAUAGCUAAUACCGCAUAAUAGCAGUUAUUGCAUGAUAACUGUUUGAAAGGUGCAAUUGCACCACUACCAGAUGGACCUGCGUUGUAUUAGCUAGUUGGUGGGGUAACGGCUCACCAAGGCGACGAUACAUAGCCGACCUGAGAGGGUGAUCGGCCACACUGGGACUGAGACACGGCCCAGACGCCUACGGGAGGCAGCAGUAGGGAAUCUUCGGCAAUGGACGGAAGUCUGACCGAGCAACGCCGCGUGAGUGAAGAAGGUUGUCGGAUCGUAAAGCUCUGUUGUAAGAGAAGAACGAGUGUGAGAGUGGAAAGUUCACACUGUGACGGUAUCUUACCAGAAAGGGACGGCUAACUACGUG
RNAcentral lists this ribosomal RNA (495 nucleotides) under uncultured bacterium. RNAcentral describes it as "partial 16S ribosomal RNA". It matches the Rfam family "Bacterial small subunit ribosomal RNA", at positions 28 to 507 of the family's 1533-position model. The record is from RNAcentral.